GAAACUCAAGCUAAUACCGCAUAUCCUCUACGGAGGAAAGGCUUCGGCCGCUUUGGGAUGAGCCUGCGUUAGAUUAGCUUGUUGGUGGGGUAAUGGCCUACCAAGGCAACGAUCUAUAGCUGGUCUGAGAGGACGAUCAGCCACACUGGGACUGAGACACGGCCCAGACUCCUACGGGAGGCAGCAGUGGGGAAUAUUGGACAAUGGGCGAAAGCCUGAUCCAGCAAUGCCGCGUGCGUGAAGAAGGCCUGCGGGUUGUAAAGCACUUUCAGUAGGGAGGAUAAUGACGUUACCUACAGAAGAAGCACCGGCUAACUCUGUGCCAGCAGCCGCGGUAAUACAGAGGGUGCAAGCGUUAAUCGGAAUUACUGGGCGUAAAGCGCGCGUAGGCGGUUUGAUAAGUCGGAUGUGAAAGCCCAGGGCUCAACCUUGGAAUUGCAUUCGAAACUGUCUGACUAGAGUUUGGGUAGAGGGUAGUGGAAAUUCCUGGUGUAGCGGUGAAAUGCGUA
RNAcentral lists this ribosomal RNA (509 nucleotides) under uncultured bacterium. RNAcentral describes it as "bacterial SSU rRNA". It matches the Rfam family "Bacterial small subunit ribosomal RNA", at positions 153 to 692 of the family's 1533-position model. The record is from RNAcentral.